UACGUAGGGUGCAAGCGUUGUCCGGAAUUAUUGGGCGUAAAGAGCUCGUAGGCGGCCUGUCGCGUCGGCUGUGAAAACCCGGGGCUCAACCCCGGGCCUGCAGUCGAUACGGGCAGGCUAGAGUCCGGCAGGGGAGACUGGAAUUCCUGGUGUAGCGGUGAAAUGCGCAGAUAUCAGGAGGAACACCGGUGGCGAAGGCGGGUCCCUGGGACGGUACUGACGCUGAGACGCGAAAGCGUGGGGAGCGAACAGG
This 253-nucleotide ribosomal RNA is filed under the name uncultured bacterium. RNAcentral's name for it is "partial 16S ribosomal RNA". It matches the Rfam family "Bacterial small subunit ribosomal RNA", at positions 524 to 776 of the family's 1533-position model. The record is from RNAcentral.